RNAcentral lists this ribosomal RNA (490 nucleotides) under Fragilaria sp. RCC5554. RNAcentral's name for it is "SSU rRNA". It matches the Rfam family "Eukaryotic small subunit ribosomal RNA", at positions 626 to 1121 of the family's 1831-position model. Lineage: Eukaryota; Bacillariophyta; Fragilariophyceae; Fragilariales; Fragilariaceae. The record is from RNAcentral.
GCUCGUAGUUGGAUUUGUGGUUGGGUUCGUCGGUCCGGCACAUUGUGCGGGUACUUGAUGGACUCGUCCAUCCUUGGGUGGAAUCUGUGUGGCAUUAAGUUGUCGUGCAGGGGAUGCCCAUCGUUUACUGUGAAAAAAUUAGAGUGUUCAAAGCAGGCUUAUGCCGUUGAAUAUAUUAGCAUGGAAUAAUGAGAUAGGACCUUGGUACUAUUUUGUUGGUUUGCGCACCGAGGUAAUGAUUAAUAGGGACAGUUGGGGGUAUUCGUAUUCCAUUGUCAGAGGUGAAAUUCUUGGAUUUUUGGAAGACGAACUACUGCGAAAGCAUUUACCAAGGAUGUUUUCAUUAAUCAAGAACGAAAGUUAGGGGAUCGAAGAUGAUUAGAUACCAUCGUAGUCUUAACCAUAAACUAUGCCGACAAGGGAUUGGCGGUCGUUGUAUUGACUCCGUCAGCACCUUAUGAGAAAUCACAAGUCUUUGGGUUCCGGGGGG